GAGACACGGUCCAAACUCCUACGGGAGGCAGCAGUGAGGAAUAUUGGUCAAUGGGCGGGAGCCUGAACCAGCCAAGUAGCGUGAAGGAUGACGGCCCUACGGGUUGUAAACUUCUUUUAUAAGGGAAUAAAGUUCGCCACGUGUGGUGUUUUGUAUGUACCUUAUGAAUAAGCAUCGGCUAAUUCCGUGCCAGCAGCCGCGGUAAUACGGAAGAUGCGAGCGUUAUCCGGAUUUAUUGGGUUUAAAGGGAGCGUAGGCGGGCUUUUAAGUCAGCGGUCAAAUGCCACGGCUCAACCGUGGCCAGCCGUUGAAACUGCAAGCCUUGAGUCUGCACAGGGCACAUGGAAUUCGUGGUGUAGCGGUGAAAUGCUUAGAUAUCACGAAGAACUCCGAUCGCGAAGGCAUUGUGCCGGGGCAGCACUGACGCUGAGGCUCGAAAGUGCGGGUAUCAAACAGGAUUAGAUACCCUGGUAGUCCGCACGGUAAACGAUGAAUGCUCGCUAUGGGCGAUACAAUGUCCGUGGCCAAGCGAAAGCGUUAAGCAUUCCACCUGGGG
Molecule: ribosomal RNA, 556 nt
Filed under: uncultured bacterium
Lineage: Bacteria
Description: bacterial SSU rRNA
Rfam family: Bacterial small subunit ribosomal RNA
Source: RNAcentral